UUAUCUACAGCAUUUAAAACUUUUAGAAAUUAAAUUUUUUAAUUUUUCGAUAUCAUUUACCUUACGAUCAAACGGUCACAAAAUUGACAAUUUUCAACGGCCGGUAUGAGAUAUUUGCUAGUUUAACGGUGAAAAAGAAUCGAAAUAUGUUAAAUUUUUGAUAGAAAAUUCUAUUCACUACUUAAAUAAAGAUCAAUAACUUCGAUCUUAAAUUGAAGGAUCCGAUCAUCUAUUUUUAGGAUGUCAUUCGAUUUUAACAGCUCAUUUUAUACUCGCUUGAUAGACUUUAUAAUGAUUUCGAAAAUUUAUGAAAUUUAUUUUCUAGAAGUUUCAAAUACUCUAAAUCAUGUUUAACGGUGUGAAUCGUCGAUUUGGAAGCCCCAACAUCGAAAACAACUUAUGAGUAGUAAGGGUUCUAUACUCAUAAGAGUAUAGUAGCCCUACUCUCUCUCUCUCUCUCUCUCUCUCUCUCUCUCUAUCUCUAUAUAUAUAUAUAUAUAUAUAUAUAUAUAUGAGUGUAACACUUAUUUUUUCAUAAAAUCUCUUAUGAUCCACAUUAACCCGACUUCUUUUAUUAUUAUUAUUAUUAUUAUUAUUCUUUUUUACUAAAAAUUUAAAAGAAUUGUACUAAUUUUUAGUCCAAGAGUGGAAAAUUUAUGUUGGUACUAAUAGGUUUUCGGCCUUUGGAUGAAGGGAAGUGCGGUUAGGAUGAUAGUUGUCUUCUAGGGUCGAGUGAGCAGUUGGAUGAAUAGUAUAAUCUAACGAAGUCGAUCGUUGAUUCAGAAGUCCUAAAAUCGAAAACAACUUGAUAGCACGAAGACCUCCAUGCUUCUAAAAGAACACAAAUCGGACAAUACAUAUACCGAGAGAGAGAGAGGGAAAGAGAAUUGAGCUCGUAUACUUUUGUAAGUACAUGAGCAUUUAUGCUUGUGACGUUUUAGCCGUCGG
Molecule: long non-coding RNA, 948 nt
Filed under: Ananas comosus (pineapple)
Lineage: Eukaryota; Viridiplantae; Streptophyta; Magnoliopsida; Poales; Bromeliaceae
Description: long non-coding RNA (ACOM_LNC037606)
Source: RNAcentral